This 495-nucleotide ribosomal RNA is filed under the name uncultured bacterium. RNAcentral describes it as "bacterial SSU rRNA". It matches the Rfam family "Bacterial small subunit ribosomal RNA", at positions 30 to 518 of the family's 1533-position model. The record is from RNAcentral.
UGAACGCUAGCUACAGGCUUAACAUAUGCAAGUCGAGGGGCAGCAUUGGAGUAGCAAUACUCAGAUGGCGACCGGCGCACGGGUGAGUAACACGUAUCCAACCUGCCGCUUACUCGGGAUAGCCUUUCGAAAGAAAGAUUAAUACCCGAUGGUAUAAAGAGUUCGCAUGUUCUCUUUAUUAAAGAAUUUCGGUAAGCGAUGGGGAUGCGUUCCAUUAGAUAGUUGGCGGGGUAACGGCCCACCAAGUCUACGAUGGAUAGGGGUUCUGAGAGGAAGGUCCCCCCACAUUGGAACUGAGACACGGUCCAAACUCCUACGGGAGGCAGCAGUGAGGAAUAUUGGUCAAUGGACGAGAGUCUGAACCAGCCAAGCAGCGUGAAGGAUGACUGCCCUAUGGGUUGUAAACUUCUUUUAUAAGGGAAUAAAGUGAGGGACGUGUCCCUUUUUGUAUGUACCUUAUGAAUAAGGAUCGGCUAACUCCGUGCCAGCAGCCGC